UGGGGAAUAUUGCACAAUGGGGGAAACCCUGAUGCAGCAACGCCGCGUGAGUGAAGAAGUAUUUCGGUAUGUAAAGCUCUAUCAGCAGGGAAGAAAAUGACGGUACCUGAGUAAGAAGCCCCGGCUAACUACGUGCCAGCAGCCGCGGUAAUACGUAGGGGCAAGCGUUAUCCGGAUUUACUGGGUGUAAAGGGAGCGUAGACGGCGAGGCAAGUCUGAUGUGAAAGCCUGGGGCUUAACCCGGAACUGCAUUGGAAACUGCUUUGCUGGAAUGCCGGAGAGGUAAGCGGAAUUCCUAGUGUAGCGGUGAAAUGCGUAGAUAUUAGGAGGAACACCAGUGGCGAAGGCGGCUUACUGGACGAUAACUGACGCUGAGGCUCGAAAGCGUGGGGAGCAAACAGGAUUAGAUACCCUGGUAGU
RNAcentral lists this ribosomal RNA (420 nucleotides) under uncultured Lachnospiraceae bacterium. RNAcentral's name for it is "bacterial SSU rRNA". It matches the Rfam family "Bacterial small subunit ribosomal RNA", at positions 355 to 794 of the family's 1533-position model. The record is from RNAcentral. Lineage: Bacteria; Bacillati; Bacillota; Clostridia; Lachnospirales; Lachnospiraceae.